UGGGGAAUCUUGCACAAUGGGCGAAAGCCUGAUGCAGCAACGCCGCGUGCGGGAAGAAGGCCCUCGGGUUGUAAACCGCUUUCAGAAGGAACGAAACUGACGGUACUUUCAGAAGAAGGUGCGGCCAACUACGUGCCAGCAGCCGCGGUGACACGUAGGCACCAAGCGUUGUCCGGAUUUAUUGGGCGUAAAGAGCUCGUAGGCGGUUCAGUAAGUCGGGUGUGAAAACUUUGGGCUUAACCCAAAGCGUGCAUCCGAUACUGCUGUGACUUGAGUACGGUAGGGGAGCGGGGAAUUCCUAGUGUAGCGGUGAAAUGCGCAGAUAUUAGGAGGAACACCGGUGGCGAAGGCGCCGCUCUGGGCCGAAACUGGCGCUGAGGAGCGAAAGCAUGGGUAGCAAACAGGAUUAGAUACCCCCGUAGUCCCUGAGCGGGCUGGCAAGGCGCAU
Molecule: ribosomal RNA, 448 nt
Filed under: uncultured bacterium
Lineage: Bacteria
Description: bacterial SSU rRNA
Rfam family: Bacterial small subunit ribosomal RNA
Source: RNAcentral